AUGUGCCCCCCCAGCCCCCUGGGCUGCGAGCUGGUCAAGGAGCCGGGCUGCGGCUGCUGCAUGACCUGCGCCCUGGCCGAGGGGCAGUCGUGCGGCGUCUACACCGAGCGCUGCGCCCAGGGGCUGCGGUGCCUCCCCCGGCAGGACGAGGAGAAGCCGCUGCACGCCCUGCUGCACGGCCGCGGGGUUUGCCUCAACGAAAAGAGCUACCGCGAGCAAGUCAAGAUCGAGAGAGACUCCCGUGAGCACGAGGAGCCCACCACCUCUGAGAUGGCCGAGGAGACCUACUCCCCCAAGAUCUUCCGGCCCAAACACACCCGCAUCUCCGAGCUGAAGGCUGAAGCAGUGAAGAAGGACCGCAGAAAGAAGCUGACCCAGUCCAAGUUUGUCGGGGGAGCCGAGAACACUGCCCACCCCCGGGUCAUCUCUGCACCUGAGAUGAGACAGGAGUCUGAGCAGGUACAUCUCAGGGAUUCCCUCAUUCCCUCCCGGCUUUUGACCUUUUCCUGUAUCUAAAUGGACAUUCAUGGCGGCAGGAGGUGCUUAGGCUAG
RNAcentral lists this small RNA (552 nucleotides) under Pan troglodytes (chimpanzee). Its description in RNAcentral is "retained intron". The record is from RNAcentral. Lineage: Eukaryota; Metazoa; Chordata; Mammalia; Primates; Hominidae.